AGCGCACAGUGUCACGCGGCGUCACUGCGCUGACCCGUCCAGGCACAAUGAUGCCUUCACGUGCCCCUCCUUGCGUCCCCUCGCAGCGCGUGAGCACCGGCUGCAACUCGUUAAAACUUCCGUAAAUACCCAAUUGAGAUUAAAUUUCGAUUUUGAAAGGAAAGGGCAAUGCAUUUGCAAAAACACACCGAGUAUUGCCAACACUCCCUGAAGGCCACAUAAUCAUUGAGACCUUCUUAUGGACGCGCGGAUGGCCUCCCGAUUCAUGGAGGGAGAUCUCCACAAACGUCGGAGAGUGCUAAACCACUACGGAUGUAAUAUAUCUUUGGCCACCGGUGGCGCUGUUGUGCGGACCGAGCGUGUACCCGGAUGUAAAGCGUUUCUCCGGACAUUCUCCGUCAGUCUACCCGGGAAAGAGCACCGAAGCGACAGUCCACCUCUGUCGGACCUCGCGCUGUGAGGAAGUCACUAAACAAUGCUGACUCAAGCCUCUGUUGAGAAGAUUGCACUCGACAUCAUGGAAAAGCAGCAGGAACAACAACAACCACCGAGGCAAAAGAAGGGACACACGAAAAGGUGUCUUUCCUGUGGCCAGCCAAAGUCUAGGUAUGAAAAUGAUGGUUCUUCAAUCCACUUCUUCUACCAGCAGGGCCCGGUCCGAUACUUCUACUGCUCCGCUAAAGUUUUUAAAACUUAUGGUGCUGAAGGUCUGACAAACCCCAAAAUGCCUUUUGUAGACUUUACUGAGACAGUUCUCUCAGCUAGAACUGGAUGCCACACAGAAAAGGGUGGCAGAGAAAGGACCGCAGAAGAGGAAAAGAACUGAUUGCCAGUCCGCAGGUCGCAAGUGUCUGUUCUGUAAGAUGGAACUGAAGCAGGGCCCAAACAGUCGUCACAUUCACACUGGGUUCCCUGGAGUAACAGGGAAGUACAUUUUCUGCCCGGUUAAAAUCUUUUCACUAUACAAAGACCAUGGACAUGGAAAUGACGUGGAGAGAGUUCCAGGGGUCUGCUUUCUUUGAGAAAGAAAAACAGAGAUGGGAGGCUGAAAGGAGGAAUGAAGAGAAAUAAUAAGGGGAGUUCCAUCCAGAAUUUUAAGUCCAAUUAUUUGUAAUAUACAUGUUGUAAUUAGUUUAUAUAUUGUUUUCUUGCAUUUGUGACUUUGUACAUUAAAUAUUAUCUUUUUAUUUAUUCUUUAUAUUUGGUUUUAUGGUUUGAUAGUCAUUAGUUGAAUUAUUUGGAUGUCUUUAUUUCGGUAACAUUUUUGUUUGUAUAGGACUAUACACGUUAAUAAAUAUAUUUCAA
This is a long non-coding RNA of Gasterosteus aculeatus aculeatus (three-spined stickleback), 1305 nucleotides long. NCBI's taxonomy places the organism in Eukaryota, Metazoa, Chordata, Actinopteri, Perciformes, Gasterosteidae. The record is from Ensembl.